GCGGCGUGCUUAACACAUGCAAGUCGAACGGAAAGGCCCUGCUUUUGUGGGGUGCUCGAGUGGCGAACGGGUGAGUAACACGUGAGUAACCUGCCCUUGACUUUGGGAUAACUUCAGGAAACUGGGGCUAAUACCGGAUAGGAGCUCCUGCUGCAUGGUGGGGGUUGGAAAGUUUCGGCGGUUGGGGAUGGACUCGCGGCUUAUCAGCUUGUUGGUGGGGUAGUGGCUUACCAAGGCUUUGACGGGUAGCCGGCCUGAGAGGGUGACCGGCCACAUUGGGACUGAGAUACGGCCCAGACUCCUACGGGAGGCAGCAGUGGGGAAUAUUGCACAAUGGGCGGAAGCCUGAUGCAGCAACGCCGCGUGCGGGAUGACGGCCUUCGGGUUGUAAACCGCUUUCGCCUGUGACGAAGCGUGAGUGACGGUAAUGGGUAAAGAAGCACCGGCUAACUACGUGCCAGCAGCCGCGGUGAUACGUAGGGUGCGAGCGUUGUCCGGAUUUAUUGGGCGUAAAGGGCUCGUAGGUGGUUGAUCGCGUCGGAAGUGUAAUCUUGGGGCUUAACCCUGAGCGUGCUUUCGAUACGGGUUGACUUGAGGAAGGUAGGGGAGAAUGGAAUUCCUGGUGGAGCGGUGGAAUGCGCAGAUAUCAGGAGGAACACCAGUGGCGAAGGCGGUUCUCUGGGCCUUUCCUGACGCUGAGGAGCGAAAGCGUGGGGAGCGAACAGGCUUAGAUACCCUGGUAGUCCACGCUGUAAACGGUGGGUACUAGGUGUGGGGUCCAUUCCACGGGUUCCGUGCCGUAGCUAACGCUUUAAGUACCCCGCCUGGGGAGUACGGCCGCAAGGCUAAAACUCAAAGGAAUUGACGGGGCCCCGCACAAGCGGCGGAGCAUGCGGAUUAAUUCGAUGCAACGCGUAGAACCUUACCUGGGUUUGACAUGGAUCGGGAGUGCUCAGAGAUGGGUGUGCCUCUUUUGGGGUCGGUUCACAGGUGGUGCAUGGCUGUCGUCAGCUCGUGUCGUGAGAUGUUGGGUUAAGUCCCGCAACGAGCGCAACCCUUGUUCACUGUUGCCAGCACGUUAUGGUGGGGACUCAGUGGAGACCGCCGGGGUCAACUCGGAGGAAGGUGGGGAUGACGUCAAGUCAUCAUGCCCCUUAUGUCCAGGGCUUCACGCAUGCUACAAUGGCUGGUACAGAGAGUGGCGAGCCUGUGAGGGUGAGCGAAUCUCGGAAAGCCGGUCUCAGUUCGGAUUGGGGUCUGCAACUCGACCUCAUGAAGUCGGAGUCGCUAGUAAUCGCAGAUCAGCAACGCUGCGGUGAAUACGUUCCCGGGGCUUGUACACACCGCCCGUCAAGUCAUGAAAGUUGGUAACACCCGAAGCCGGUGGCCUAACCGUUGUGGGGGAGCCGUCGAAGGUGGGACUGGUGAUU
This 1430-nucleotide ribosomal RNA is filed under the name uncultured organism. RNAcentral describes it as "16S ribosomal RNA". It matches the Rfam family "Bacterial small subunit ribosomal RNA". The record is from RNAcentral.